This 253-nucleotide ribosomal RNA is filed under the name uncultured bacterium. Its description in RNAcentral is "partial 16S ribosomal RNA". It matches the Rfam family "Bacterial small subunit ribosomal RNA", at positions 524 to 776 of the family's 1533-position model. The record is from RNAcentral.
UACGUAGGGGGCGAGCGUUGUCCGGAGUUACUGGGCGUAAAGCGCACGCAGGCGGUCUGUUAAGUUUGGAGUGACAGUUGGUGGCUUAACUGCCAAAGUGCUUCGAAAACUGACAGACUUGAGGGCUUCAGAGGGACACGGAAUUCCGGGUGGAGUGGUGAAAUGCGUAGAGAUCCGGAGGAACACCAAAGGCGAAGGCAGUGUCCUGGGGAGUACCUUACGCUCAGGUGCGAAAGCCAGGGGAGCGAACGGG